AACGCACCUUGCACUCCUUGGUAUUCUGAGGAGUAUGCCUGUUUGAGUGUCGUGGAAUAUCUCACAUUGUGCCAGGUUUGACCAUGUUUUAAUACGUGUGUCUCCAGGAAUGCAUGUGGAAGUGGAGGCUUGUGCUGGAGAAUAAAGGGACCCCCCCUCGUUUCUAACAAGGGGGCGUGGGCCCUUCUUUCAGCUCCUCUGAAAAUCAUUAGCACCAAUGUUACCAUAGUGCUGCCGUCCUCAGUGUGAUAAUCAUGUCUGCGCUGUGGGGUGUGGUGCUGCUGUGUGUGUGUGCUUCUAAUGGUCCCCCCUCAUGGGGACAAUAAACAAUUCCUGUUUGACAUUUGACCUCAAAUCAGGUAGGACUACCCGCUGAACUUAA
This 382-nucleotide unclassified non-coding RNA is filed under the name uncultured fungus. RNAcentral's name for it is "sequence contains ITS2". Lineage: Eukaryota; Fungi. The record is from RNAcentral.